GUGGGGAAUAUUGGACAAUGGGCGAAAGCCUGAUCCAGCCAUGCCGCGUGUGUGAAGAAGGUCUUCGGAUUGUAAAGCACUUUAAGUUGGGAGGAAGGGUAGUAACCUAAUACGUUGCUACUUUGACGUUACCGACAGAAUAAGCACCGGCUAACUUCGUGCCAGCAGCCGCGGUAAUACGAAGGGUGCAAGCGUUAAUCGGAAUUACUGGGCGUAAAGCGCGCGUAGGUGGUUCAGUAAGUUGGAAGUGAAAUCCCCGGGCUCAACCUGGGAACUGCUUUCAAAACUGCUGAGCUAGAGUACGGUAGAGGGUAGUGGAAUUUCCUGUGUAGCGGUGAAAUGCGUAGAUAUAGGAAGGAACACCAGUGGCGAAGGCGACUACCUGGACUGAUACUGACACUGAGGUGCGAAAGCGUGGGGAGCAAACAGGAUUAGAAACCCGUGUAGUCC
This 450-nucleotide ribosomal RNA is filed under the name uncultured bacterium. Its description in RNAcentral is "partial 16S ribosomal RNA". It matches the Rfam family "Bacterial small subunit ribosomal RNA", at positions 354 to 796 of the family's 1533-position model. The record is from RNAcentral.